Canis lupus familiaris (dog) is the source of this 550-nucleotide long non-coding RNA. RefSeq lists it as uncharacterized. NCBI's taxonomy places the organism in Eukaryota, Metazoa, Chordata, Mammalia, Carnivora, Canidae. The record is from RefSeq and is a predicted model, not a curated record. The transcript has 3 exons.
AUAAUACAGCUCCCGGAUAUUGGUGGGUCAUCAAGCCAGCUGGGUUGCUCUAUUUCUAAACUGGAAGCAAGAAGAGGAACUUUCCAAGAAACCCCCCAACCACUUGGAAGUGGGAAGGAAGGACAUGUGCUUUUCAGGGGCUCACAGGAACCUCCAGAGGACAUGAACUUGGCCUGAGUAUCAGGAGGCAAGGCACUCAAGUGAGCUGAGGGCCCAUGGAAGAUGCCCUCCAGGACAAAUUUUCUCCUGUACCUCCAAAGAUGAAAGACUCCUACCAAAAGGAUGAAAUUUGCCUCAAGCUUUCAAAAUAUCAUAUCCAAGUUCAUUACUCGUGUGCCAUUCCAGUCAACUGGAGUCAAAUCCACCAAGCAGAAUCAUUGCCCGCGACCUUGUCUGCCAUUUAGAAAAUGACUUCCCAAACCACAGAGGGUUAAUUUGGAGCACACCUCUCCACACAGAGGUCUGCUUUUAUAUCUGAUGAAACCAAGGCAAUAUCUUGUCCCACACUGAUAUUUCCGUUUUCAAAAAGAAAAGUUUGUAAUUGCUGUUA